RNAcentral lists this unclassified non-coding RNA (4323 nucleotides) under Ooceraea biroi (clonal raider ant). RNAcentral's name for it is "gamma-aminobutyric acid type B receptor subunit 1, transcript variant X4". Lineage: Eukaryota; Metazoa; Arthropoda; Insecta; Hymenoptera; Formicidae. The record is from RNAcentral.
UCUCUCCACUUCCACGCGAAAUUUCCAGCCGCGCGAGCCUCGCGAGGAAGCAGAGUCCGUGCAGAAGCGGAGUGCGCGAAAAAUCACGUUCACCCUCCCCGUUCGCAGCCGUGUCAGUCGUGUGAUCAUCCCUGGCACACGCGCAUACACGCGCGUGCGUGCCCGUGCCUACGAACGUGGGUCAAAUCGGCCGGUCUCGAUAUCCUCCGACCUUCGCGGGCGGCCACCCCGUUGACACGCGAGACUCGAGCGACGUCGAACUCCGCGCGCGGAGCGAACGUCACGAAUAUCGUCGGCACGCAAUCGGUUUCUGAUUCGAAGGCUCGUCGGUUCCCCGGAGUCCGAAGGACAGAGCGAGCGACUCGUGGAGAUCGCUGGGAAUCGCGCGAAAGAACGUGAGAUCGCGUCGUGGUGGACUCGCGAACGGUGGUGCAAGACGAUCUGAGAGGACAACUUCCGCGGCGAGACUUUGCGACUGUGUCACCGGGAUUGAUCGAUUAUCCGGUCGUUCGGGGUGAGACGUCGGAGUCGCCGAGUUAAAGGACUUGCUGGGGCGAAAGCAAGGAGCCAGUUUGUGGCGGAGAGUGUUCGAUUAGUCGGGCGACGGGGGUCGAUCGGGGACGAGGACGAUGGCAGUGAGCACUUUCACGACGGCAUUGCCUACCACCGAUUUUGCCACUACGUGUCCUACUACACCACCCGCGCCGUGGACCGAGGCGUCGCUGCCGCCCGAAGACGAGGAGGAGAACGUCCUGCACAUCGGCGGCAUCUUUCCGAUCGCCGGCGAGGGCGGCUGGCAGGGCGGCCAGGCUUGCAUGCCAGCCGCGCACCUGGCCUUAGAGGACGUUAAUCGUGAAAAGAACUUGUUACGCGGAUAUAGACUGCACCUCCAUUCCAACGAUAGUGAGUGCGAGCCCGGUCUCGGCGCCUCCGUGAUGUACAACUUGCUAUAUUUUCCACCUUAUAAAUUAAUGCUGUUAGCCGGAUGUAGCACGGUCUGCACCACGGUUGCCGAGGCGGCAAAAAUGUGGAAUCUGGUGGUGCUUUGUUACGGUGCCUCGUCGCCAGCGUUGUCCGACCGGAAUCGAUUCCCGACCCUCUUCAGGACGCAUCCAUCUGCCACUGUGCACAAUCCCACGAGAAUCAAACUGCUACAGAAGUUUGGCUGGUCUCGGGUAGCGAUAUUACAGCAAGCCGAAGAAGUGUUCAUAUCGACUGUCGAAGAUCUGGAAGCACGGUGUAAAGAAGCUGGGAUAGAGAUAGUCACUCGUCAAAGCUUCCUGUCGGAUCCAACGGACGCGGUGAAGAAUCUACGGCGUCAGGACGCGCGGAUAAUUGUCGGCCUGUUUUACGUGGUAGCCGCGAGGCGGGUACUCUGCGAGCUCUAUCACCAGAAGCUGUACGGCAAGACCUACGUGUGGUUCUUCAUAGGUUGGUACGAGGACGACUGGUUCGAAAUCAAUCUAGAGAAGGAAGGUAUCACGUGCACGAAGGAGCAGAUGCGUAUGGCGGCGGAAGGUCACCUAACGACUGAGGCGCUCAUGUGGAACCAGAACAAUGACACGACAAUCAGCGGCAUGACCGCGGAGGACUUCCGAAAGAGACUGAACAAGCUGCUGAAAGAUGACGGUUACGACAUAGAUAACGAUCGAUAUCCUGAAGGCUAUCAGGAAGCUCCGCUUGCCUAUGAUGCCGUUUGGUCUGUCGCGUUGGCGUUUAACAGAACCAUGGAGAGGCUGAGCAAGAUGGGGAACAGUUUAAAGAACUUUACUUACAACAACAAAGAGAUUGCCGACGAGAUAUACGCGGCGGUAAACUCGACCCAAUUUCUCGGAGUUUCCGGGCACGUCGCGUUCAGCUCGCAGGGUGACCGAAUCGCUCUCACGCAGAUCGAGCAGGUGAUCGAUGGAAAGUACGUUAAGUUAGGCUACUACGACACGCAAAGCGAUAAUCUGACGUGGCGCAACGUGGAGCGAUGGAUCGGCGGCAAAGUGCCGCAAGAUAGAACGAUAAUAAGAACCGUCUUGAGAACGGUGUCACUGCCCUUAUUCAUAAGUAUGGCGACCUUGUCGGCGCUCGGUAUCGUGAUAGCCAUCGGAUUGAUCGUAUUUAACGUCUAUAAUAGGCACCGCAGAGUUAUACACUCGUCUCAUCCCACCGCCAACACGAUAAUGCUGGUGGGCAUAAUAGGCUGCUUCUUGGCUGUGCUGUGCAUAGGGAUUGACGGUAGGUUUGUGACGCCGUGGCAGUUUCUCAUCAUCUGCCAAACUAGAGCGUGGGCAAUGUCGACCGGUUUCACCCUUGCGUUCGGUGCGAUGUUUAGCAAAGUAUGGAGGGUCCACCGGCUCUCGACGAAGGCGAAGGCCGAUCAAGGAAAGUCAUUGACGGCUAAACAAAAAGUUUCGUCUAUACAGAAGAAAAUUGAGCCGUGGAAGCUGUACGUUAUGCUGGCUGGAUUGCUGUUGAUCGACAUCAUCCUCCUCGUCACUUGGCAAGUGGUCGAUCCAUUGCGUAGGAGAAUCGAGACUUUCUCGUUGGAACUGCCUCCUUACGGAGACGAGGAUGCAAUGAUCAAGCCCGAAUUAGAACAUUGCGAGAGCGAGCACAACAGCCUAUGGCUCGGCUUGAUCUACAGCUAUAAGGGCAUUGUCCUAGCUUUCGGGCUCUUUCUCUCUUACGAGACGAGAAGCAUCAAAAUCAAACUGAUCAAUGAUUCCAGAUACGUAGGAAUGUCGAUAUAUAACAUCGUAGUUCUGUGUCUCAUAACGGUACCUGUCGUAAUGGUCAUCUCUAGCCAGCAGGACGCGAGUUACGCCUUCUCGGCGUUGGCUACUAUUUUUUGUUGCUUCCUCAGCAUGGCGCUUAUCUUCGUGCCGAAAGUGAUCGAAGUGAUCAGACACCCCAAGGAUAAAUCCGAAUCGAGAUACAAUCCGGAUGGCGCGGUGUCCAAGGAAGAGGAAGAAAAGUAUCAGAAGCUGCUCAAUGAAAAUGACGAGCUUCAAAAGCUUAUCGCUACGAAGGAGGAAAGGAUUCAAACCAUCAGACAGAAGAUAGCUGAGCGCGAUGCCCUGAAAGGGACCGGUACGAUGAGUCGUUGCAGACAGGGACAGCCUAAGCAACCUUUCAUCAUUGCUGAUUAUCCGACCGGCGAGGGAACAUCGGACAGCGCUAUCGGUGGGGGUAUUUCUGUUUGUACAAAAUCUUCCCGCGCUUCCGCUUCUGAUGUUGAGUUUUCAGAGACGUACUUAUAAUCUCUCCACACACACGAGUCAAACGGUCACGCCGCUAUGGACAUCCUCAUCAGCAAUCGCGCGAUACAUUUGGGACCUAAAAUUCUUUUCAAUUAAUCUCCGUGAUUAUCGUAAAAGCUUUGGUUUAAACAAAGAGAAAACCGAACGUGUUUCCGAUAUUAUUUCGUUGCACGCAGCACGUCGCCGAAAUGUACGAACUGCACCGACUAUGAUGCCAAAGCAAUACACACACAAACGAGCGCUAUGCCUGCGCGCGCGUGCGCGCGCGCGACAAAACUCUCUUCUAAAACUAGUAUUAAACCUACGUGCACGGUCAAUAUGCGAAUAUAAUUAGUACGACAUCUUGAGACACGCCAAAGUGAGAGUGAUCGAAAAUAUUAAGUAAUGUCCGAGAUAUGAUUUCGAGAUGGUAAGAGAAGCCACUGUCACGUACUUAAGAUGUAAGUUAGUCUAUAGCGUGUGGAAUUGUUUUAUAUGUUUCGAUACGGUAAAUACAAUUCGACUGCGCCUUAAAAUGAGAGGAAGGGGAUGGGAGAAGAAAAGAGCAGCAGCGUUACGUAUGCACUAUGUCACGCGGAUAUCACGGCUACGUACGCAAGUGCAAGUAGACCGUAAAGGCGUCAUAAAAUCGCCGUCGUGUGCCCUGUAUUUCAAUCCCGUGUAUAGGUGAUAUUUGAAAUGUAAUUUCUCGUUUGUUGCAUCUACCGCGCGCGCUCACCUACACAGUAUUUUUUACUGUACUCAUUUGAUCAACUGCCGCGCGUACGGCGCUUGUAACAUCUAGUACAUACAUUAUACAUAUACGAUAGUCCUAUCGAACUGUUGACGAAAGUAUCACAUAUAUGUACGUUAGAUUAUGGAGAUAUUUAUUUUUAAGUUUUUGAAUUAUAAAAUCCGUUAUAUAUAAAACUGGAAUGAAGAGAAUGUGCUAUACUUAUUAUUGAACCCUGAGAGAUUGUUUACGAUCGGAAAUUCGUGCGACUCGCGCAAGGUGCGAUGAUCGUGUAACGCGAAUGUUCAUAUCUCUACGUUGUUUUUAGAGUUGAGAUUUUAAUAAAGGAAUUUAAAGGCA